GAAAUUUGGAGAAGGAGUUGUUUCUUGGGAAAAUGGAAUCUUGUAUGCUGAUGAAGGCAUUCAAGAUCUCAUAAAGACAAUGUUUGAGUUACCACAAAUUGGACUGUUUUUAUGCCAUGUAGUGCCUACAUUUAAUUUAGAAAAGCUGAGUCAGUAUGAAGUCGAACGUAUGUUACUAGUUCCUCAGUUCUCAAAAAGUUUAGCAGCCCUUAUGACUUCGUUACUCUCGAGUAGGAAAGACAAAUCAAAAGUUUUAUAUGGUCCUCCUAUGCCCUAUGAAGUUUGGUCUACAAGACUGAAUAACAGGGUGGCAACUUGGUACAAAACAUAUCACUCCAAGAAAAAUAAAUUUCAUGAGGUAUGUAAUUGUUUAGUUAUUUUAGUGGAUUCAAUUAAUUUACUAAUGAUUGCUCAACUGAGACUUUGUUGAGAGGUGAAAUUCUAAAUUAU
RNAcentral lists this long non-coding RNA (450 nucleotides) under Bemisia tabaci. Its description in RNAcentral is "lncRNA ENSSSA2NGG007521". Lineage: Eukaryota; Metazoa; Arthropoda; Insecta; Hemiptera; Aleyrodidae. The record is from RNAcentral.